RNAcentral lists this ribosomal RNA (699 nucleotides) under Myxarium populinum. Its description in RNAcentral is "eukaryotic LSU rRNA". It matches the Rfam family "Eukaryotic large subunit ribosomal RNA", at positions 135 to 823 of the family's 3401-position model. Lineage: Eukaryota; Fungi; Basidiomycota; Agaricomycetes; Auriculariales; Hyaloriaceae. The record is from RNAcentral.
CGUCCGAGUUGUAGUUUCGAGAGGUGUUUUCCGCGUCGGACCACACAAAAGUUCCUUGGAAUAGGGCUUCAUAGAGGGUGAGAAUCCCGUACAUGGUGUGGACUACCGGGGCUAUGUGAUGCACCCUCAAAGAGUCGAGUUGUUUGGGAAUGCAGCUCAAAUUGGGUGGUAAAUUCCAUCUAAAGCUAAAUAUUGGGGAGAGACCGAUAGCGCACAAGUACCGUGAGGGAAAGAUGAAAAGCACUUUGGAAAGAGAGUUAAACAGUACGUGAAAUUGCUGAAAGGGAAACGCUUGAAGUCAGUCGCGUCUGCUCAGACUCAGCCGUGGUUCUCCGCGGUGUACUUCUGUGCAGAUGGGCCAGCAUCAAUUUUGUUCGCUGUACAAAGGUUGGAGGAAUGUGGCAUCUCUCGGGAUGUGUUAUAGCCUCUGGCUGCAUGCGGUGGAUGGGAUUGAGGUUCGCAGCGCGCCGAAAGGCUGGGAUUCGUCCACACACGCGCUUAGGAUGCUGGCGUAAUGGCUUUAAACGACCCGUCUUGAAACACGGACCAAGGAGUCUAACAUGCAAGCGAGUGUUUGGGUGUAAAAACCCUUGCGCGAAAUGAAAGUGAAAGGUUGGGAAUCCUUUAGGAUGCACCGACGCCCGGUCUUGANNNUACNGACGGAUCUGANGCANANCUUGUAUGCUGGGACCCGAAAGA